This 83-nucleotide transfer RNA is filed under the name Jatropha curcas. It matches the Rfam family "tRNA". Rfam says of the family: Transfer RNA (tRNA) molecules are approximately 80 nucleotides in length. Their secondary structure includes four short double-helical elements and three loops (D, anti-codon, and T loops). Lineage: Eukaryota; Viridiplantae; Streptophyta; Magnoliopsida; Malpighiales; Euphorbiaceae. The record is from Rfam by way of RNAcentral.
CCGAUCUUAGCUCAGUUGGUAGAGCGGAGGACUGUAGUUGUGCUGUGAUCCUUAGGUCUCUGGUUCGAGGCCGGCAGGUCAGA